This 348-nucleotide ribosomal RNA is filed under the name uncultured Glomeromycotina. Its description in RNAcentral is "SSU rRNA". It matches the Rfam family "Eukaryotic small subunit ribosomal RNA", at positions 569 to 924 of the family's 1831-position model. Lineage: Eukaryota; Fungi; Glomeromycota. The record is from RNAcentral.
AGCAGCCGCGGUAAUUCCAGCUCCAAUAGCGUAUAUUAAAGUUGUUGCAGUUAAAAAGCUCGUAGUUGAAUUUCGGGAUCAAUAUGUUGGUCGUGCCUCGGUACGUACUAGCAUAUUGGUUUCUCCUUUCUGAAGAACCAUGAUGCCAUUUAUUUGGUGUCGUGGGGAAUCAGGACUGUUACUUUGAAAAAUUAGAGUGUUUAAAGCAGGCUCACGCUUGAAUACAUUAGCAUGGAAUAAUGAAAUAGGACGUUUGAUUCUAUUUUGUUGGUUUCUAGGAUCGACGUAAUGAUUAAUAGGGAUAGUUGGGGGCAUUAGUAUUCAAUUGUCAGAGGUGAAAUUCUUGGA